GACAGAGGGUGCAAACGUUGUUCGGAAUUACUGGGCGUAAAGCGCGUGUAGGCGGCUAAGUAAGUCGGGCGUGAAAUCCCACGGCUCAACCGUGGAAGUGCACUCGAAACUGCAUAGCUAGAGUCCUGGAGAGGAAGGUGGAAUGCUUGGUGUAGAGGUGAAAUUCGUAGAUAUCAAGCGGAACACCGGUGGCGAAGGCGGCCUUCUGGGACAGUGACGUGACGCUGAGACGCGAAAGCGUGGGGAGCAAACAGGGAUUAAGAA
This 264-nucleotide ribosomal RNA is filed under the name uncultured bacterium. RNAcentral describes it as "partial 16S ribosomal RNA". It matches the Rfam family "Bacterial small subunit ribosomal RNA", at positions 524 to 784 of the family's 1533-position model. The record is from RNAcentral.